Molecule: long non-coding RNA, 3797 nt
Filed under: Brachypodium distachyon (stiff brome)
Lineage: Eukaryota; Viridiplantae; Streptophyta; Magnoliopsida; Poales; Poaceae
Description: long non-coding RNA (BDIS_LNC003130)
Rfam family: MIR1120/MIR1122 microRNA precursor family (bases 2686-2810)
Source: RNAcentral
ACGCACGCACCUCUUCCUCUUUCCUUAUCUCCUCUGGCUCUCCCCGUCCUCCCUCUUCCUCUUUCCUCACCCAGUCUCCUCUCCUCUCCCCCGAUCUACUACCUCUCCUCCGCUAGCAGGAUCGGCAGCGGCUGCCUCCAUCUCCCAGUCCUGGCCCGACUCCCAGUCCCGGCCACCAGCGACGAGGAGCCGGCACCGCCCUCCUUGCCGCCGCCCGCGACCCCGGCGACGAGGCCUGCGAGGAGGAGCCAGGCGCAGCCCUCCUUGCCGCCGCCGCCCCCGACCCCGGCCGCCGCAUCCACGGCGCCGGUGAAUCUCUUCCUCUCUCUCACCCCUUCCUCUCCCCCUCUCUCUCCCUCUCUCCGAUUUCUCUCUCUCACUCACCCUCUGAUUAUUCUCUAGCUCUUUCCGCAGGCAUGGAGAGGAGGAGGAGCCGGCCGCCGCCCCGCAGAUUCGCUAUCUCCCUCUCGGUUUCCCUCUCUUUCUUCUCUCACUCUUGCAGGACGUCGGUGUCGAGGAGCAGGUGCCGACGAGGCGGCGCGGCCGCUAUAGCAGGAGGAGCUCCACGACUACCGAGGAGGGCACUCCUCUGUCCAUCUCCAGCCGCCGCCGAUGCCUGCGUGUGCGGUGAGGUCGAUGGAAUUGGGGCUGGCCUCGUUUUUUUUUAUUUUCUCAAAUUCCCUAUCAGUGUCGGGCGUGUGCCAUGACCGCCACUGAUGAGGCGCCACAUCAGCCAGGAAUGUUGUGUGCCCGUCAGUGAUGUCGUUUUUUGCCCCUGAUGGGGUGUUUUGUAGUAGUGCCCCCCUCUCCUCCCUUCCUCCCUGCGCAAGGCAGGCGAAGGCAGAGCGGAUCCGGUCGGCACGCUCCGCCUCUCGCGCAUGGAAAACACCUUCCAAAAACGAUCCAUGCUUUAAUGUUCCAAGUUAUUUAUUAACCAUCUAUUAAUCCGUGAUUAUGCGAACAUUAUUCACCUAAUUUUUGAUUGGCGUGAAAAAUUGGUACAUAAAUCUGUACGCAAAUCUGAAGUAAGAACCAGAGAAUAUCCACAGAAAUUUCAUGUGCAGAUUAGAGACCGGGAGAAAUUGUGUGCGGUCGAAAAUACAAAUCAUUUGGAUUCACGGAGAAGAACACGGCGUUGCAAGCCAUGGAGUUGGAAGCCAUGUGUGAUAGUAUAUUGUCUAGUGCUAAUUUAACUCGGAGGAGAUCGAGCUGCUAUUUGAUGAUUCUUGUUGCCGUCGAGGGUGGCUAUAUAUAGGAGAGGGGGGCUGGAGCUCGGUGCCACAGUUGUAAUUCAAUUGCCAUUGAUGGAAUGAUAAUGUAAUCCUCUUGAAACGGUCCUGUUAGUUUUUUUCUAAAUGGGGACCUGGUGGUCACCCGUCGACUCCAAUUAAGCUUGGCUGAUACGUGUGACCGUGUUACAUAAUUCAGUUUUCAGACAUGUUUAACCUACAUGAGCGCACGACCUACCCUAGCUGUAUAUCUUGCAGUCCGGCCGGCAACGUGUGUGUGUAGCUGUGUACUGUUCUUUGAUUAUUGAUCAACGGCUUAAUUUUCUUGGCUAGCUAACUAGUGCUAGGCACGUUCUGUACAAUCUGUUAAUUCAUAUUGAUUUGAAGAAACAAAUUUGCUGGAACCAAAAAAGUCCAUGUAUUAUCUAUUAACGAAUGGAAAUGUUUAAUUCCACUCAUCCUAUUGCACGUAGGUAAGGGACUACUUUUAACAUUAACAAGCAUAGGAAACAGAGAAUGAAAAUGCUUAAAUCUGCUCAUGUCUUGUCGACUUUAAAAUAAAUAUUUAAUAUGUUUAGCACCAGCUAUAUCUCAAGGUAUCCAUCACACAAAAAUAUAGUCUUGCUAGUUGUUACAAGUACAAUCACGGAGAUAUUAUCUGACAGGAGAAUUUCAUGUGAGAGAGCCAUCGGUUAUUUUUGUGUGACAGACCACACCCAAGUCGCUUUGAAUAGCAAUCAGAUACAGUAUUGAACAUCUCCUCUUUCAGAAUGACAGUAACUUCUUUUAUCAGUCCGAGGAUGGCAUUUCUUCUAGAUCCACAUUAAUACUAAGAUAUAGGAGACCAAAACCUAGACUUUCUGAAAUUUGGUUGUUCAUCUACACUUCUUACUUACAGCUGACGCAAGUUAGACAUCAAGAGAUAUGAACACAAACAUUAUCUCUUAGCGUAAGAAACGGCAAUCAUUUUCAUUUCCCUUGUCUGAAAGAAGAGAGGGAAGAGAGGCAAGUUGGAAUAUGGCCUAGUCCCUACAUGCUGUCAUCACCUCCAUUCAGGAAACUGCCAUAAUUGUUUCUCCCUCUGUAAUUGUUUAUGUCUUGCUGUUCUCUCCUGUGUUCAAGCAGACUCAAACAGUGUGAUAAAAAAAGUUAUAAUUUAUAAAUUUAGAAGCGUAUUGGGAAGUGCAUUGGCAUUUUAAUUGAGAACACAUGUCAUUACUUAUAAUGAUAUUGAAGUGUAUUUUCACAGCUUUCAGCUAUGGCAAUGCAGCUGCACAAUGUGCAAUCGUACUUGUCAAGAACCGCAAUCAGUGACUAAAUACGCUAAUAUCAAGUUAUGCAUCUCAAAUUUCCAGUUGAAACUGGCAUUCUGAUAUACAAGAUGUUCAGAUGUUGUCGACAGGAGACCUUUUUCUGCAUUACCCAGUGGUCUAUGACUAUGUGAGAGACAAAUUUUUAAGUACUCCCUCCGAUCCAUAUUAAUUGUCUCAAAUUUGACCAAAUAUGGAUGUAUCUAUGCCUAAAACACGUCUAGAUACAUGUAAUAUUUCGACAACUAAUAUGGAUUGGAGGGAGUAGCUCUGUUUUACUGAAAAAUCAUCAAAUGUUCAUUGGAAAUUGUGCUGUGCUAUUUAAGUAUGUGGAUGCUUUUCUUCUUUGAGAAAAGGGUGGUUAGCUUGUACUUCCUACCAGCCAAAGAAACUAGAAAACUCUGUAGAAUUUGAAGGAAAUCCAAAACAAGAUAUAUUAUGUUCAUUAUUUUAAUGGUUCUCUUCAUCCCAUCUUGUCAGGAUUUUUUGUGUUGCAGGAGUAUAGAUCUCACUUGAAUAGAUGGGUUUUGAUUUUCAGAAACAGAUGCUUAUUUUUCUAGUUAUGCAAAUUAAGCAGACACAGAUUUCACCAGUCUUGAUGAGCUCACUAGAGGAUAUCACACCGUAAAAAAUGCACAAAAUUUAUAUAUGCAAGCCACUUCAAAAUAAAGUCAGAUAUUACCAACAAAAAAUUGAAGACUGAGCCCUUUUGACCAAUUAUAUCCACUCCUUUGGAUUUAUGCACACGUCUAGAAGUUUCCAUUCUUCAGUCCCGACUUCUGGUUUCUGCAAACAAAUGGCAUGUGAGUAAACUUGCCAAAAAUGGUAAUAUAACAAAAGAUACAUGUCAGUUGUCACAACCAAAAGAUGCAUCGUAACAGUGUCACUUCCUUGCCAAAAAACGAUCACUUAAUGUUCAAAUGAAUCUUUUCAAACUAUUUAAGUUUAGAAGCAUUUUAUUUUCUUUGAACAUUUUAGUGGCUUAAAACAGCAAGAACUUAAAACCUUAAUGUUAUCAGAGUUGGAUAACAGUAACAGUCAGCAAUGCUAAUUUCCUAGAGAAUCUCAACUUACAUGAUCAUACUCCCACCUUGCAGUCAGAGGGAGUGAAACAAGGAUGCUUGCAAUCCUUCCUCCAGUCUUCAGGCCAAAUGUGGUGCCACGAUCGUAGACCUAUGCAAGGAGCAAACUUCUAUGGUUAGAAGAAAGCUAACAAUGGCAAGCAUGACGAUCACGGACAUGUGGAAGAACUUACAAG